GUAUGAUUAGCUCAGCUGGGAGAGCACCUCCCUUACAAGGAGGGGGUCGGCGGUUCGAUCCCGUCAUCACCCACCA
This 76-nucleotide transfer RNA is filed under the name Klebsiella pneumoniae. Its description in RNAcentral is "tRNA-Val". It matches the Rfam family "tRNA". Rfam says of the family: Transfer RNA (tRNA) molecules are approximately 80 nucleotides in length. Their secondary structure includes four short double-helical elements and three loops (D, anti-codon, and T loops). Lineage: Bacteria; Pseudomonadati; Pseudomonadota; Gammaproteobacteria; Enterobacterales; Enterobacteriaceae. The record is from RNAcentral.